This is a long non-coding RNA of Quercus lobata, 1715 nucleotides long. RefSeq lists it as uncharacterized. NCBI's taxonomy places the organism in Eukaryota, Viridiplantae, Streptophyta, Magnoliopsida, Fagales, Fagaceae. The transcript has 3 exons. The record is from RefSeq and is a predicted model, not a curated record.
AAAAAGGGCAACAAAAUAAGAAUUGUCAAAAGUAUGAAUCCACAACCAAAGUUCUGGUGUACUAAUAUUACUAGUAAGUUUAAGUGUAGAAUUUCUAUUGUCAUUAACAAACCAUGAGUCAAUAAGGCAGCAAAUUUGUGCAUUACAUAUUUACAAAAAAUUUUGAAUUAAGCAAAUAUCACAAAGUCAUACAUCAUGGCUCCCUAUGUUUUGUUGAGCAGAUGCAAGAAGAUCAUUGCAACCAUUCUAACAUCCAAGACAUCCCAGAAGUUCAAUCAUCAAAACCACAAAGAAGUUGGAAGUUACAAAUGACAGCACUACACGGUUCUUAAGGGAGUAUCAAUUGAAAUUAUUUAGGAGCAAAGGUUAAAAAAACAAAAAAGAAACGGGGAUGGCAUAUCAGAGUUAAUUUGGUAGUACACAACAUUGGGACUCCACGAGAUUCCAAGUUCAACUAUUUCCUAUGAAUCCAAACUUAAUGUGUACACCUUAAUCAUGGAUUUAUGAUAAUCAAACCAAAUCCUCACAACCUUGUAGUCAUUACUCUGGGAAUCAUAAGCAAAUCCGAGUGUAGCACAAUGAUGGGGUUUCAAAUCAAUACAAGAAGGUAACCAAGAGGACAAAAAAAAGGAACCAAAUCGUGCUUAUUGCCUAGCAAAAUUUAAGAAAACAAAGGGGGGCAAAAUUGAUUCAUAUCAAGCGCAGAGAUGGGUUAAGUGGUUCAGUUUAAUAGGUCCAAUAUUAUGCAUAAAUAGAUUUCAAUAGUUAAAAUCUAUUUGACUAACAUGAGGCGUAAAAUUUAAAAAAUAUAUGUAUAUAUAUAUAUAUAUUAAUUUGAUAUUUUAUGUCACAUUUUCCCACCAAUCGAAAGGCUCAGAUUUAUCAAAAACAAUUUUAAAAAAAUUAUUGCCAUUUGAUGACCUGCCAGAGCAUUCCCCUCUAACAAACUCUGCCAGGACACUCACUCCUACGCCCUCAAUGCCAUACCCUCAAAUACAAAAUUCUAUUUCCUGAUUCAUUACAACGGGCAGAGAGAAAAUCCUCUCUAGCCUCUCUCAUUUCUCUCCCUUUUCCUCCAUGACAAACCCAGAGAGAAAAACCCAAAAAUCCCACCAAAACACAGGGAAAAAAAAAAAAAACCAGAAAAAUUCAAAAUAGUGCAGAAAUUCAGUUAUAAGGGAAGACAGAACAAAGAACUUCAAUAAGUUUCUUCUAUCCCUAUCUCAUUCUUUUUCCCCACUUUUGUUUUUGUUUAGAUUCCAAUUUUCUCUACAUUUUCUUUGCAGCCAAACAUCAACCGGAGCAAUCACAAAAGGCUAAAUCACAAAAAGGGAAGCAACAACACAGCAAGCAGGAUAGAGAAAAAUAUCAACCAAAAAUCACAAAAAACGAAAGGCUUUAGAGAAGCAAAUGAAAAGAUAUAGAUCUAUAGACCCUAAGGGUUUAGCCACUCCAAGAGGAUAUUCAAUUUCUCUACAAAUCUGGACAUUUCGUACAUUUAAUGUACACAAUUUCCCAUUGAAUUUACACAGUUCUGGAUAUCCAAUUUCUCUGCAAAGAAAGACAUUCCAUACAUAUAUAAUGUACACAAUUUGACACUGAAUUUACGAAAUUCUGGAUAUUCAAUUUCAUCGCCAAACCAGAAAUUCCGUAAAUGAUAUGUACACAAUUUCUCGUAGAAUUUACGUAGUUUUGAAUAUUCAAUUUCUUUGCAA